GAUUAGUGAAAAAAUCAUCUACAGAGGCGGAGUGUGUGAAUAAGAAUUAAUAUGAUAUUAAAGUGCAAAAAAAGUCUCAAUCUUGGACGCCUAGUAAGACCCAAGUCUCCAUAUUGGAGAAAUGAACAACAAAAGGGUCAAAGGCUUUUUGAUGGGUGGGUGAUUAAAGCAAAAUAUACAUUAACUAGAGUGGGACAGGAG
This 201-nucleotide long non-coding RNA is filed under the name Manihot esculenta (cassava). RNAcentral describes it as "long non-coding RNA (MESC_LNC010609)". Lineage: Eukaryota; Viridiplantae; Streptophyta; Magnoliopsida; Malpighiales; Euphorbiaceae. The record is from RNAcentral.